Molecule: ribosomal RNA, 394 nt
Filed under: uncultured Diversispora
Lineage: Eukaryota; Fungi; Glomeromycota; Glomeromycetes; Diversisporales; Diversisporaceae
Description: SSU rRNA
Rfam family: Eukaryotic small subunit ribosomal RNA
Source: RNAcentral
AGCAGCCGCGGUAAUUCCAGCUCCAAUAGCGUAUAUUAAAGUUGUUGCAGUUAAAAAGCUCGUAGUUGAACUUCGGAAUCUGCCCAUUGGUCAGGCUUAACUGUCUGAACUGGUGUGACGAGUUCCUACCUUCUGAGGAAUCUUCAUGCCAUUCAGUUGGUGUGGGGGGAAAUCAGGACUGUUACUUUAGAAAAAAUUAGAGUGUUUAAAGCAGGCAUCCGUCUGAAUACAUUAGCAUGGAAUAAUAAAAUAGGACGGUUUGGUUCUAUUUUGUUGGUUUCUAGGAUCACGUAAUGAUUAAUAGGGAUAGUUGGGGGCAUUAGUAUUCAAUUGUCAGAGGUGAAAUUCUUGGGUUUAUUGAAGACUAACUACUGCGAAAGCAUUUGCCAAGGAU